UAAAAUAACCGUUCACGUUUGUCGUGGGCGCGCAUCAGGGGCGUAACGAUCCUCUAUCACUAUGGCAACAGUCCGCCGCUCCGUGCGAUGUCAUCGGCUCUGCAUUCCUUUACACCGCCAUCCUCUGAAUCAUCUUUAGUUUCAGUCUCUGUAAAGAGGAUCGCGAGCCCGUCGCCAUAGCAACACGUUACAUAUCAAGCGGUAAUAUUUAUCCUUUACAGCAAAGCGAAUCUGACGGUGUUUUGUCUGUAAUGUUCACAGAUCACCGCUAGGGGGCAGCAGUUAACAACACAAAGACGCGUGACGAAGACGGCGUGAAAAAUCACACACGUAAAGGAAUAAAAUUGCCAGGGCUGAUCGAGUCUCGACGACAUAGACCCUGUUGAGAUCGCCAAAUCUUUGGAUUUGACAUUACUGUUGGAGGUUGGAGAAAAAAAUCCAGUGUUUAGACUUUUUGGGCAAGUCAACAUAUGAAUGGCCUACUUACGGUUGUCUCUACAUCCCAUACGAACAGUCCAGAAACAAGGUGGGCCUUCAUGCAUGCUCUGCAGCAUCAAAAAACAGGAGCAAAACAAAGGGAGAAUUUCAGCAUUUGGAGAAAAAACAGACAGAAUUUAUUUCGUAUCCAAGUUGAGUAUGCCAAAACCUCCAUGUCUCUUUAUCUAUGUGCUAAAAACACCAGAAUUCUACCCAUCUGAGCCACCUGGCAUCCCUUGACCUCCCAACCCGUGCUACAGCCCAAAUCCUAGAAGCUUUUCACUAUACAUUUAUCAUUCCCAGCCAUACCACUUGAGCUUCACACAUGAGUGACAACUUGGCAUGAUUCCUGACAACCUGCAGGCUAAAAUCCCACUUUCCCUUCACAACUGACUCAAACACCCGAUCCAUGAUACUUAAAAAUCAACUCACUCCUCAUUUUCCUGUUAUAAAUACAGUAGCGCAUCCUACUUUUGUUUUUUUAUGGCUUGCAUCUUAAAUUUGCAUUUGACUUUGAAGAAUUUUGCUGGAAUCCGUCAGCUAGAGGUCCAUGGGGAGUGCCGGUGGCUCACAAGUCACCAUGAUAUUAAAUCAACCAAAGUAUACCCAGGUACCGCUAGUGGAACUAGUACAUUAUUAUCUUGCAUUGCCAUUUUGCAUAAAUUCAUUAGACAGGGCAAUUAAUUUUUUCUUCAAGCUAAAACCGUCAUGAUAAAUGCUGUGACGGUAACUGUGUCAGAAGAGAACUGAAAUGCCCCAUCUGCAUUAGCAUUCAUAUGCAGAUUAACGUUGUUGUUUUUUACCGCAGUACACAGAAAAACAAGCUGAAUAUGAGCCGUUCGGUUUGGUGAUGGCAUACGAAGGUCUGUCUUACUGCAUUCAAGAUAAAACUAAACUUAUAAAUCACAUUGUAAUGCAAUAGUUGUUAUAUUGCAGCACAUAAACAAUACUGAGACGUGCAUGGUAUUUUGACCCGACUAUGAAAAUAAUAUUGUGUCUGGGGAUUUAUCCUGAUUCUUGCCUCUAGAAAAAAAAAACUUUUGAGGCUGAUGGCAGACAUUUUAGCAUUAUAAAAUUACUCUUGCAUACAACACAUGAUGAAAUCUCAGGAGUGGGAGAUAAUGAGCCAGUUAAGUUAGCCAAACAAUGAUGGAUAGAUUAGUUAAAGCCAAAAACAGAGUGACAGAGAGGAAAAAUGUGCAGCAAGAACGAAAUUGAACAGUAUCCAAACCUAACCAUUUCAUCAGGGAAUAAUGGUCCAUAGAUCAAUUGUAUAUGGGCACAACCGGUUCAGACCAAUGCAUCAUUGUUGAUGAUUAAACUGCUGGCUCUAAUCCACUUUAAUGCCUUCAAACUUAUUGGAUGAGUCUUCAUUAGGUAGCAUGACUAAAAUAACCCUACAGCAGGAUUCAGGGCAUGACAAUGAAAAAUGUGUUUUGUUUAAACAAUUGUAAAAUCUAAAUCCGAAUGAGUGUGUUUAAGUUCAACAUUUCAGGAAAUAAGGAGCUACUAAAAGUGGCAACUUUAAAGGCAUCACAAAAAUAGGAGAUGUUGUCUGAUCUCUAAGACUUCAGGCAAUGAUUAACUGCUAAACUAUAGUGACACAUUUGCUUUUCAUUAUAGCAUACGUCAAACUACAUUUAAGGCUUGAAAUGGUUUGGGAUUACUGUGUCUAUAUCAUUUAACAAUUCCCCACAUUUCAUUCUUUACUAUAAAAGGACAGUUCACUCAAAAAUGAAACUUAACACUAAUAUUGCUACCUGUGUGUGCUUUUAUUUUUAGGAGAUGGGUUUUGGAUCAAUAUAUUGGAAAGGACUGUUCAAAAUAAUAAACCAUUGACAGCCAAUCAAAUCUACCGACUACUUUAUAUUUUUUAAUUUUGCAUUGAUAGAUAAGAUUACACAAACAUGUCUAUCAUCUUUCAGACGAGCACAUUUAGAGUUAUUUUAGUAAAUGUCAAGCUUAUCCACCUGUUUUUUGACAUAAAUGUGGGCGCCGCCAUCUUUGAGCUUUCUUGUUUAUGACUUUCGUUGAGCCACUAAAGCUAAUGGUAGUCUAUUUUCGAAGGAAACAAGUGUGCCGUUUUGACUGGAUGUUUAAUGUUUAUUAUGAAAUCCAGGAAGACUGACAUAAUUUGUGCAUUUAGGGGUUGCUAUAAUAGCUACAAACGCAGUAAAUCGCUACAAAACAAUUGUUUUAACCAAAAUCCACGCACAAGAACUGAAUGUGGAGCACAUGCACUCAUCUGUAUUUACAAAUCCAUCCAGUAAAACCUUUCAUAGAAACUGCCAGUAAACAAUAAAUACAAUAGUUGUUUAUAAACAACUAAUAUUAUGCUGAUAAAAUAUGCUGAUUUAUUUAUUCUGCUACUAUACUUACAAAAAUGCGAUUUCAGUACAGAAUAUAUAUGACAUAAUCUGCUUAGUUAAUGUUUAUAAUUGUUCGUAAUGUGUUUUCGCCUAACUUUGUUAUGUUUUAAAUAAAAAAGCAAAUACUUUAAAAAGUAAGCAAAUAAUUUCAUAAGCUUAUGUCUCCACCUAAUGUGUAAGAAGUAGGGGUGUAACGGUACGCAAAAAUCACGAUUCGUUGCGUACCUCGGUUUUGAUGCCAUGGUUCAGUUCA
Misgurnus anguillicaudatus (oriental weatherfish) is the source of this 3099-nucleotide non-coding RNA. NCBI's taxonomy places the organism in Eukaryota, Metazoa, Chordata, Actinopteri, Cypriniformes, Cobitidae. The record is from RefSeq and is a predicted model, not a curated record.